RNAcentral lists this ribosomal RNA (434 nucleotides) under uncultured bacterium. RNAcentral's name for it is "partial 16S ribosomal RNA". It matches the Rfam family "Bacterial small subunit ribosomal RNA", at positions 29 to 507 of the family's 1533-position model. The record is from RNAcentral.
AGCGAACGCUGGCGGCAGGCCUAACACAUGCAAGUCGAACGAACCUUUCGGGGUUAGUGGCGGACGGGUGAGUAACACGUGGGAACGUGCCUUUAGGUUCGGAAUAACUCAGGGAAACUUGUGCUAAUACCGAAUGUGCCCUUCGGGGGAAAGAUUUAUCGCCUUUAGAGCGGCCUGCGUCUGAUUAGCUAGUUGGUUGAGGUAAUGGCUCACCAAGGCGACGAUCAGUAGCUGGUCUGAGAGGAUGAUCAGCCACAUUGUGACUGAGACACGGCCCAAACUCCUACGGGAAGCAGCAGUGGGGAAUCUUGCGCAAUGGGCGAAAGCCUGACGCAGCCAUGCCGCGUGAAUGAUGAAGGUCUUAGGAUUGUAAAAUUCUUUCACCGGGGACGAUAAUGACGGUACCCGGAGAAGAAGCCCCGGCUAACUUCGUG